Molecule: small RNA, 116 nt
Filed under: Marmota monax (woodchuck)
Lineage: Eukaryota; Metazoa; Chordata; Mammalia; Rodentia; Sciuridae
Source: RNAcentral
GCCAGGAGUGGUGGCGCACGCCUGUAAUCCCAGUGACUAGGGAGGUUGAGGCAGGAGGAUCAAGAGCCUCAGGAAUUUAGUGAGGUGCUAAGUAACUCAAUGAGACCCCAUCUCUA